UGUAGGAGCGAGCCUGCUCGCGAAGGCGGCCUCACAGUCGAUGAUGCAGUGACUGAUAGGCCCUCAUCGCGAGCAGGCUCGCUCCCACA
RNAcentral lists this unclassified non-coding RNA (89 nucleotides) under Pseudomonas thivervalensis. The record is from RNAcentral. Lineage: Bacteria; Pseudomonadati; Pseudomonadota; Gammaproteobacteria; Pseudomonadales; Pseudomonadaceae.